GGUGAACGACCCGCAAGGGAGGCUUGCACAGGUGUUUGCAUGGCUGUCGUCAGCUCGUGUCGUGAGAUGUUCGGUUAAGUCCGCUAACGAGCGCAACCCUCGCUGUAUGUUACAUGUGUCAUACAGGACCGCCGGUAUCAAGCCGGAGGAAGGUGGGGAUGACGUCAAGUCCGCAUGGCCUUUAUGUCCGGGGCUACACACACGCUACAAUGGUCGGUACAAUGGGUUGCUAAGCCGCGAGGUGGAGCCAAUCCCCCAAAGCCGGCCUCAGUUCAGAUUGCAGGCUGCAACUCGCCUGCAUGAAGCUGGAGUUGCUAGUAAACGCGCGUCAGCUAUAGUGCGUUGAAUACGUUCUCGGGCCUU
RNAcentral lists this ribosomal RNA (363 nucleotides) under uncultured Anaerolineaceae bacterium. RNAcentral's name for it is "bacterial SSU rRNA". It matches the Rfam family "Bacterial small subunit ribosomal RNA", at positions 1007 to 1382 of the family's 1533-position model. Lineage: Bacteria; Bacillati; Chloroflexota; Anaerolineae; Anaerolineales; Anaerolineaceae. The record is from RNAcentral.